UACAUAGGGGGCAAGCGUUGUCCGGAAUUACUGGGCGUAAAGGGAGCGUAGGCGGUUGAUUAAGUCAUGUGUGAAAGCCUGGGGCUUAACUCCAGAAUUGCACCUGAUACUGGUUAACUAGAGUAUUGGAGAGGUAAGUGGAAUUCCUAGUGUAGCGGUGAAAUGCGUAGAUAUUAGGAGGAACAUCGGUGGCGAAGGCGGCUUACUGGACAAUAACUGACGCUGAGGCUCGAAAGUGUGGGGAGCAAAC
Molecule: ribosomal RNA, 250 nt
Filed under: uncultured prokaryote
Description: partial 16S ribosomal RNA
Rfam family: Bacterial small subunit ribosomal RNA
Source: RNAcentral